Molecule: unclassified non-coding RNA, 302 nt
Filed under: plant metagenome
Description: partial contains 5.8S ribosomal RNA, internal transcribed spacer 2, and large subunit ribosomal RNA
Rfam family: 5.8S ribosomal RNA (bases 1-105)
Source: RNAcentral
GAAAUGCGAUAAGUAGUGUGAAUUGCAGAAUUCAGUGAAUCAUCGAAUCUUUGAACGCACAUUGCGCCUUUUGGCAUUCCGAAGGGCAUACCUGUUCGAGCGUCAUUUAAACCUUCAAGCUCAGCUUGGUGAUGGGUGACUGUCCCCCCCUCGCGGGGGGACUCGCCUCAAAAACAUUGGCGGCCGGUACAUUGGCUUCGAGCGCAGCAGAAACGCGGUCUCGAGCCCGGUGGAUCGGCUCCCACAAGCCUAUUCUUUUAUUUUGACCUCGGAUCAGGUAGGGAUACCCGCUGAACUUAAGC